GACGAACGCUGGCGGCGUGCUUAACACAUGCAAGUCGAACGGAAAGGCCCUGCUCUUGUUGGGUGCUCGAGUGGCGAACGGGGGAGUAUAACGUGAGUAUCCUGCACUUGACUGUGGGAUAAAUUCAGGAAACUGGGGCUAAUACCGGGUAUGAGAUCCUGCUGCAUGGGGGGGGAUGGAAAGAUUCGGUGGUUGGGGAUGGACUCGCGGCUUAUCAGCUUGUUUGGGAGGUAGUGGCUUACCAAGGCUUUGACGGAUAGCCGGCCUGAGAGGGUGACCGGGCUCAAUGCGACUGAGAUAGGGCCCAGACUCGAACGGGAGGCAGCAGGGGGGAAUAUUGCACAACGGGCGGAAGCCAGAUGCAGAAAUGCCCGGUGCGGGAUGACGUCCUUCGGGGUGAAAACCGCUGUCGCCUGUGAUGAGGCGGGAGUGACGGUAAUGGGUAAAGAAGCACCGGCUAACUACGUG
RNAcentral lists this ribosomal RNA (468 nucleotides) under uncultured bacterium. Its description in RNAcentral is "partial 16S ribosomal RNA". It matches the Rfam family "Bacterial small subunit ribosomal RNA", at positions 28 to 507 of the family's 1533-position model. The record is from RNAcentral.